AUUUACCCUUCUGAAGACUUCUGCUUUCCGCGGUCCCAGCAAAGCUGCUGGACGCGCUCAGCACUGGAUCCACCGGAUACUGGAUUCGGUAAUGGUGAUUUGGGGCUAAAUAUCCGAGGGAGAUCGGACGGCAAGGGGCUCCGCCCCGGUGUGGCGCCCCCGAGAGAAAGAGCGAGAGGAGUGCUCGAAGGGGCGUAGAAGAAAAGGAUCUUUACAGUUUAGGGUAGUGAAGAGGUAAGAAGUAGGACUUGGAGACAGUUUUACUUUUCUUGUUUUGCGAAGAAGUCCAAGGAAAGUUCUAGUUUUAUUUAAAACGAUGAAUAAACAGUACAGCCAAAACGAUGUCGCACUACAGCACCGUAUGAUAAUCUUAAAGCACUCCCAGCAUGCAGAAUUUCCAGGGCCAGGAAUCGAACUUGCGGCACAGCAGUGAAAAUAAAGGUUAACUGCCAGGUCACCAGGGACCUCCUGUUCUAAUGUUUUUAUUAUAAACACACAAAGCUGUGACUACAAAAAUCAAACUAAGACUAUAUA
Non-coding RNA from Sus scrofa (pig), 534 nucleotides. The record is from RefSeq and is a predicted model, not a curated record. Lineage: Eukaryota; Metazoa; Chordata; Mammalia; Artiodactyla; Suidae.